GAUGAACGCUGGCGGCGUGCUUAAUACAUGCAAGUCGAACGGAAAGACCAUGAUCUUGUGGGUUGCUCGAGUGGCGAACAGGGGAGAAACACAUGAGUAAACUCCCCCUGUCUUUGGGAUAACUUCAGGAAAAUCGGGCUAAUACCGGAUAGGAUCUCCUGAUCCACGGUGGGGGUUGGAAAAUUUCGGCUGUUGGGGAUGGUAUGGCGGCUUAUCCGCCUGUUGGUGAGGUAGUGGCUUACCAAGGCUUUGACGGGUAGCCGGCCUGAGAGGGUGACCAGCGACAUUGGGACUGCGAGACGGAGCAGACGGGUACGGGACGCAGCAGUGGGGAGUAUGACACAAUGGGGGGAAGCGUGAUACGGCAACGCCGGGUGCGGGAUGACGUCUUUCGGGUUGUAAACCGCUUUCGCCGGUGACGAAGCGUGAGUGACGGUAAUGGGUAAAGAAGCACCGGCUAACUACGUG
Molecule: ribosomal RNA, 468 nt
Filed under: uncultured bacterium
Lineage: Bacteria
Description: partial 16S ribosomal RNA
Rfam family: Bacterial small subunit ribosomal RNA
Source: RNAcentral